Molecule: long non-coding RNA, 3163 nt
Filed under: Sorghum bicolor (sorghum)
Lineage: Eukaryota; Viridiplantae; Streptophyta; Magnoliopsida; Poales; Poaceae
Description: long non-coding RNA (SBIC_LNC007388)
Source: RNAcentral
UCCGAUUGCGCUUCGUCUCUCGUCGACACCGGUGAACUGGGAGCCGGGGAUCAGGUUCGGACGUCUCCCUCCUCCAGAGUCCCGACAACAGAUGCUACCUACUGUCUGUCCCUAGACAUCUGUUGCUAUGGUUUGUCUGCAGAUUUAUAAAAAGUAUUUAUCUAUUACUACUAAUUAUAUAACAUAAAUUUUAAUAUAAAUUUAAUCUAAGUAUGUUUAGCUUCUGAGCCAGUGAGGCGAGAGCAAAAGUUAAAAAGGGAGGGACCUACGGUGUAUAUGACAAAAUUUACCGGGGAUGCGGAGGAGCUGUCUGCGCUCAACCGCUGUCAAGCGCGGGUCCCGACAUACUCUCCAUUUUUUGAUCGUGCAUGUAGCAGUACAUCCUUGUACUUGCUUAGAUCAAACCCCAUUUGCGGUCCUUUUGAUAUGUUGUUAAGUACUACACAUAAGCACGACGUGCGCGAAGUGUCGCUUGACGCUUGGUGUCAUGCCGCUCAAGUGCUCGCUGAAUUGCCUCGACGGGGAGCCAUACUUUAAAGGGCGUUUUUCUCCGGUCGAGCACCAGCAGCAUGUCAUGUCGGUCUCCUCUGAUCCUCUCCUAUCCCACCUCUCUGAUCGAUCAUUGUUUAUCUGUCUCCUUUCGGAACUAAUCAAUGUUUAUCUGUACUGUCCACUCCCGCCUUGUUCGGACAGUACAUGACGGCGUACCAUAAGCUUGUCCGUAUCGACCGACCGAACUCUCUAUACUUAUAUGAAAUUAGUCUUAAUUCAUUGCUUAGUGCCACUGCCAGUGCUUGUUUAUCUUAUCUCAACCUGUAACCCGUUGAAGUUGGUUGCGCACAUUCAGCGUUUGACUAGCGAAGUCUUUGCGACUUUGAUUCCUUCAACCUUUUGUACUCUUUUAGCUAAAAAUUGACAUAAACUUUUAUAUAACCCUAAUUUCCAAACUUUAUAAAAACCCUCUAUUGGCCUCUGGACCCAAACCCAACUGCUCUGUCGUUACUGGCUACACUUAUUGUCUCCUUACGAAACAUUUGGUGGCGUACAAUGCAAAUUGGCUACUUGCUGUUUACACAAUAAAAAUUUGAUGAGAAGUUGAUACCAACUUUUAUAUUAACUGGGACAUAAGGUUAUGCACCUGGGCCAUACAAGGUGUGAAUGCUGCCUUUUUGUGCUGGAAUCGUGAUACUGACACAAUUUGCUUACGCUGGCAGCUCUUACAAGGUACCGUCGAUGUUUUUUUCCUAGUCAACAUUGAUUCUUUGAAUGUUGAAUGCACAUGCUUGCUCAUGUGUUCGCUUUGAUCCUUCUAGUAUCUAUAUUCUACUCAUUCUAAAGAAAUGACAAUCUACAACCUUAAUAACUUUAUUUGUUGGAACAAUGGUUUGGUGCCCCUUCUUUUGAAGAAAAAUUGUGAUUUUCCCUCAAUUUUCUAACUAUGUGAAUAUUUCCAACCAUGUGACACUUGACAGUAUUGCCUAAGUUUUGUACUUUUACUAUUAAUGCCAAAAAUACUAUAUGACUGAAGCACUCGAUUAGUGCGCUGCUUGUCGUUUAAGCAUUUCAUCAGUACAAAAAUUACUUUAAUAUGUAGGAGGUGUUAGGAAGCAUCCCCAACCAUUUUAAAAGGUCAUAUGUAGAAAUUAGGAGGGGGUGAUCCUCUACUACUUUACUAAAAAGAGAGUUUUACCAGAGACAGAGAGAACUAGGAAAACAAAAAAGGAAACAAAUAAAAUAAAGAAGGUAUAACUUCUAGUGGUUCUCCUACUGCUUAAUUAAAUAUGUUCUACUUGUUCUAGUGGUUCUCCUAUUUACCAAGUUCACAUCAUAAUUCCCUACAAACUUGAGUUGAACUUAUGGUGGAAGCUUUUGUUCAAUCGGUCACUUCCUGCAUUGGGCGAGAUCUGCUGAAUCUGAAUAUAUAGAAUGUUACUAUAGUAUUAACCUAAAAAUGCUGGUUUAUGUUAUUGAACACAAGACAACAGGGAAGAUCCAUCUAGUAAGGUAAUUGACCUGCAAGCUGGUGUCUGUUGUUCAAUUCAGUUCCAACUUUGGGGAAACAAAAGGUUUAUACUGGCUGAUUAUUCCAAAUGACUUAAACACACUACAAUGGUAGAUAAUCGAUCAAUUAGCAUUAAUCCUUUUGUAACCUUUUAUCUUAAAUAAAAUUCCAGUAGAGGCCUUGCGCCUCUCCUGUUCCCUAUCAAUUAGCAGUGAUCUAAAUAUGACUUCACACGCCAAGAUACUAUACUGUGUUCACAUGGAAAGCUGCUUUCUUUUCUGUCAAUCUGAUAAGAGGCAUGUUCUGUAGGCGCUGUUGUUAAAUGUCCAAUGGCAAAGCGUGCAUUAUUGCUCUUGUACAUCUGAUCAGUUAUCUUUGAAUGUUUUUAUGGAAAGAUAUACAGAUUUCCCAACACAAUGUGGACGGUUGCGUUGAAUGGUAAAUCAUCCAGUAGUGUGUUGCCGCCAUCUGAUGUACAACUGUACAAGUCCUUCAAGAAAGAAUACCAUUGAUGCUUAUUUUGGAAACCGUGUAGUCAUUUACUGAUGCUAACUGAAGAUUGUAGUCUGAAAAACGAAAAAAAGGGGGUUGAAUUGUGUCUAAUACAGUGUUUGCCUGGUAAACAUGACUAGAACAGUGACCAGUCCAUCUUGACUAAUCAAUCUUCCUGAUUUAAGGGGAUUGCUUGUUAGUAUUGGAAAUUUGCUUGAGCAGACUAAUUUAAAACAACCUACGCAAGUCUGAGUUGGCACUGAAUUCUUAUUAUGCAGUUGACACACUUUAAAUUGUUCUUUUGCUGUCACGCAGGAGAACAGAAAUAAUUUCAGAGUCCAUUUCUAUAAGAGAACAAGAAGCAUCGUGAAAUUGGGGCUGAUGCGUCUGAUGAGCAAUGGAUAAUCUGGAAUAUGGUAAGUAUACAGGUGUAUAUGUGCUGACCUAACCUGAUCAACCAGUAUGCGUCUUAAGGUACCGUACGUUUUACCCCUGAGAGCGACCUUACUGUAAGAACUAGUUGAGCAUACUGUGGAUUUUGUCAGUGACAGGGGUUUUCAAAGUUCACUCACAAAGAGUAUUUCGAAGAUCAGUGGUAAAACAAUACGGUCAAAUUCUUGUACUCAGCAAAACUACCCUUUUAUAUAAUGAUCCUCUCUAUCCCACCGC